Abortiporus biennis is the source of this 90-nucleotide non-coding RNA. The record is from the annotation of a GenBank genome assembly. NCBI's taxonomy places the organism in Eukaryota, Fungi, Basidiomycota, Agaricomycetes, Polyporales, Podoscyphaceae.
GGCUGUGUGGUCUAAUGGUUAUGACGUCUGCUUCACACCUAUAAUUCUGGUUAACGCUGAAGGUUCCCGGUUCGAACCCGGGCACGGUCA